This 3272-nucleotide ribosomal RNA is filed under the name Capsicum chinense (habanero). Its description in RNAcentral is "bacterial LSU rRNA". The stretch from base 389 to 2017 matches the Rfam family "Eukaryotic large subunit ribosomal RNA". Lineage: Eukaryota; Viridiplantae; Streptophyta; Magnoliopsida; Solanales; Solanaceae. The record is from RNAcentral.
UGGACUCUCGACAAUGGAUUUCUUGGCUCUCGCAUCAAUUUAGAACGUAGCAAAAUAUGAUACUUAGUGUGAAUUGCAAAAUCCCAUGAACCAUUGAGUCUUUGAAUGCAAGUUGUGUCCGAAGCCAUUAGGCCAAGGGCAAGUCUACCUAGGCAUCAUGCAUCGCAUCGCCCCCCUCGCAUAGUGCCUUAGUCGUGGGGUACACUGUCAUUAUAGGGUGGAUAUUGGCCUCCCAUGCACCUCGAGCUUGUGGAUGGCCUAAAUGCGAGUCCAUAUAAACGAACAUUGCGAAAAGUCGCGAUUAUAACUCAACUCUUUUUAUUAUCGCAGCUACAACUUGUUGUGCAUCCAGACUCCAGUACCCUAUCGCGCUUAGGCUUUCCGACCGCGGUCCCAGGUCAGGUAAGAUUACCCAAGGAGUUUAAGCAUAUCAAUAAGUGGAGAAAAAAAACUUACAAGGAUUCCCUAAGUAAUAGUGAGCGAAUCAGGAAUAACCCAGCCAUAGAAUCAGGCAUCUCUGUCAACCGAAUUGUAGUCUGAAGAUGCAUCUUCAAUGGCAGACCAGGCCCAAGUCCCUUGGAAGGGGGAGCCAGAGAGGGUGGGAGCCCCAUUGUACUCAGACCCUAUCACACCAUGAGGUGCUAUCUAUGAGUUGGAUUGUUUGGAAAUCCAACCCAAAUCAGGCGGUGAAUUCUGUCCAAGACUAAAUACGGGUGAAAGAUCGAUAGUAAACAAGUACUGAGAGUGAAAGAUGAAAAGGACUUUGAAAAGAGAGUCAAAUAGUGCUUAAAAUUAUUAGGAGGGAAAUAGAUAGGGGCCAGCGAUGCAUCCUAGUCAGAUGUAAAACGGUGAUAAGCUGAUCCACCGAUCGACUCAGGGCAUGGACCAGCGUGGAUUGGGGGAGGCUAAAGCUUGGGUUUUCAAUACGUUUAUGGAAUACCGUCUACUUGAUUGUGGUAGGUAGUGCAUGCCUUUGUCAUGCUUCGACAUCUACGCACUCCAGAUGCUGGCUUGUGGGCUUCCCAUUUGACCCGUAUUAAAACAUGGACCAAUUAGUCUGAUAUAUGUGUGAAUCAAUGGGUGAGUAAACCCGUAAGGCAUAAGAAAGCUGAUCGGUGGGAUCCCUCUGAGAGGUACACCACUGACCGACCUUGAUCAUCUGAGAAGGGUUCGAGUGUGAGCAUACUUGUGGGGACUCAAAAGAUGGUGAACAAUGCCUGAGCGGGGUAAAGCUAGAGAAAACUCUGGCAGAGGCCCGCAACAAUACUGGCAUACAAAUUGUUCAUCUUACUUGGGUAUUGGGGCGAAAGACCAAUCGAACUGUCUAGUAGCUAUUUCCCUAUGAAGUUUUCCACAGGAUAGAUGGAGCUCGCACGCGAGUUCUAUCGAGUAAAGAAAAUGAUUAGAGGCCUCGGGGGCUCAACUCUCUCGACCUCUUCUAAAACUUUAAAUUGGUAAGAUAGCAUGACUGCUUUGUUGAGCUGUGCCAUGAAAUCGAGAGCUCCAAGUAAGCCAUUUUUGGUAAGAAGAACAUGCGAUGUGGGAUGAACCAAAAGUCGAGUUAUGGUGCCAAACUAUGCGUUAACCUAGAUCUCAGAAAGGGUGUUGGUCAAUUAAGAUAGCCGAACGAUGGUCAUAGAAGUCAAAAUUUGCUAAGGUGUGUGUAAUAACUCAACUUCCAAAUCAACUAGCCCGAAAAAUGGAUGGCACUUAAGCACGCAACCUACACCCUAUCGUUGAGGCAAGUGUCAGGCCCUGAUGAGUCUGAGGGUGCGACAGUCACUGAAAGAUCUUGGGUGUAAUCCCGAGCAAAGUAGCCUUCGGUGCAGAUAUUAGUGGUAGUAGCAAAUAUUCAAAUAAGAACUGUAAAGGUCGAAGAGGGGAAAGGUUCCAUGUGAAUGACACUUGACAUUGGUUACUCGAUCCUAUAAUGUAACACCUUGAUUUUCUGAACCAAAAUGCUACACGGUGCUCAUGACCCCGAAGGAACACAAACUAACCCAUGACUGCUAUAUGUACCUGUAUACUGCAUAAUAUAUAUAAAAUAUGGAAACAUGAACAUGAAAGGCCAUAACGUUCAAACUGAAUAAACGCCUGAUAACAAAAUGUCUGAAAAAGGUAUAACAAUAUCAAAAUAAGUCAUAAAUACUAAAAAUAAUGAGAUCUGAAUAUCUAAUCUGAAAUCUAGUCUGAAAGCCUCUAACUGAACUGAAUAAGGAGUUGAAGGAACAUGUCUCCAACUAACUCCAUCUAGCAACUGAAUAGUAAAUGUAGCAAUAAUUAUAUCAUCCUCGAAUGAGAAGGACUCACUGCAAACUCUGAACACUGGAAUGCUACUACUGAUCUGGAGCUCAUUCCUCUGAACCUAUGGUGUAACAUAAGAGAAAGUACCAUAGCGCAAAUAUGUCAGUACGUCUGAAUGUACUGAGUAUACAGGUGAGGUAGGCUAAAUACAAAGGGCUAUAUGCAUGAACAAUGUUAACUAAUAUGAACGUGAAAAUACAUACAUACAUAAACAACUAUAACUAAACUCGUGAUGAUGCUGACUACUAAUUUUGAAUACUGACGACAUGACUUUACUGUUACUGAGGUACUGAGUAGAUUAUUGACUAUUUAUGACAGUUUAAAUGAUGAAGAACUGGUUUGAAUGACUGUGUCUAAUAGUAUUGAAAUUAAAUACUGGUAAUGUGAGCUAUGACAAUUGAUAUAGCUGAUAUAACUGUAAUGAUCGGACUAAUCAAUAUAACCGAUAUUGAGCAACUGUAUAUGAUAGUCUAAGUUUUGAUGGAACUAUCUGAGUCUUGUUCUACUUGGAGUAACUAAAUCUGAGAUCAGUCCUAUCUAGCGGCUGAUCAUGAGUAUACUGAUAAUAAGGAUGAUUUGACUUAGUCUGACAUCAGUCCUAUCUAGCUGGUGAUCUUUAAAUCUAAUAAUUCUAAUACUGAUUAAUCAUAGUUGAUAUCAUACCUAGCUAAUGGGUGAUCUUGAAGUCUAUUUAUAAUGAUAAACAUUAGCUGUAUCUAACAGUACUGAAUCUGUACUACUAAGCUGAGUUGACUGUGUCUGAAAGCCCUAAUUCUGUAACUAAAAUUGUGGGAUGUGUUCAUAUAACCGACAUGCCCCAAGCUAAGCUGACUGGGGUCCAAUCUCUGCCCUGGCUGGAAGGGUGUCAGUACCGCGCCGCCAGUAAAGACAUCUGCUAUGGAGUCAGUUCUAAUCUAGCGAGUGACUCCUGGGAUCAUUCCUAUACAUAUAAAUAUGCUAACGGGUGA